This 468-nucleotide ribosomal RNA is filed under the name uncultured bacterium. RNAcentral's name for it is "partial 16S ribosomal RNA". It matches the Rfam family "Bacterial small subunit ribosomal RNA", at positions 28 to 507 of the family's 1533-position model. The record is from RNAcentral.
GACGAACGCUGGCGGCGUGCUUAACACAUGCAAGUCGAACGGAAAGGCCCUGCUUUUGUGGGGUGCUCGAGUGGCGAACGGGUGAGUAGCACGUGAGUAACCUGCCCUUGACUUUGGGAUAACUUCAGGAAACUGGGGCUAAUACCGGAUAGGAGCUCCUGCUGCAUGGUGGGGGUUGGAAAGUUUCGGCGGUUGGGGAUGGACUCGCGGCUUAUCAGCUUGUUGGUGGGGUAGUGGCUUACCAAGGCUUUGACGGGUAGCCGGCCUGAGAGGGUGACCGGCCACAUUGGGACUGAGAUACGGCCCAGACUCCUACGGGAGGCAGCAGCGGGGAAUAUUGCACAAUGGGCGGAAGCCUGAUGCAGCAACGCCGCGUGCGGGAUGACGGCCUUCGGGUUGUAAACCGCUUUCGCCUGUGACGAAGCGUGAGUGACGGUAAUGGGUAAAGAAGCACCGGCUAACUACGUG